UACAGAGGGUGCGAGCGUUAAUCGGAAUUACUGGGCGUAAAGCGAGUGUAGGUGGUUGUCCAAGUUGGAUGUGAAAGCCUUGAGCUCAACUCAAGAAAUGCAUUCAGGACUGGGCGGCUAGAGGACCGGAGAGGAUAGUGGAAUUCCCAGUGUAGUGGUGAAAUACGUAGAGAUUGGGAAGAACACCAGUGGCGAAGGCGGCUAUCUGGACGGUUUCUGACACUAAGACUCGAAAGCGUGGGGAGCAAACAGG
RNAcentral lists this ribosomal RNA (253 nucleotides) under uncultured bacterium. Its description in RNAcentral is "partial 16S ribosomal RNA". It matches the Rfam family "Bacterial small subunit ribosomal RNA", at positions 524 to 776 of the family's 1533-position model. The record is from RNAcentral.